CGGCGAGGACGACUUCGUCACGCUCCGCACGGUCGGCUCG
Molecule: small RNA, 40 nt
Filed under: Curtobacterium sp. ER1/6
Lineage: Bacteria; Bacillati; Actinomycetota; Actinomycetes; Micrococcales; Microbacteriaceae
Description: mini-ykkC RNA motif
Source: RNAcentral